Molecule: ribosomal RNA, 428 nt
Filed under: Ditylum brightwellii
Lineage: Eukaryota; Bacillariophyta; Thalassiosirophyceae; Lithodesmiales; Lithodesmiaceae
Description: partial Bacterial large subunit ribosomal RNA
Rfam family: Bacterial large subunit ribosomal RNA
Source: RNAcentral
UUGAGAAGCUUGCUGGAGGUAUCAGAAGUGCUAAUGCUGACAUGAGUAACGAUAAUGGGUGUGAAAAACACCCACGCCGAAAGACCAAGGUUUCCUGCGCAACGUUAAUCGACGCAGGGUUAGUCGGUCCCUAAGGCGAGGCUGAAAAGCGUAGUCGAUGGAAAACAGGUUAAUAUUCCUGUACUUCUGGUUAUUGCGAUGGAGGGACGGAGAAGGCUAGGCCAGCUUGGCGUUGGUUGUCCAAGUUUAAGGUGGUAGGCUGGAAUCUUAGGUAAAUCCGGGAUUCUAAGGCCGAGAGCUGAUGAUGAGUUAUCUUUAGAUGACGAAGUGGUUGACGCCAUGCUUCCAAGAAAAGCUUCUAAGCUUCAGGUAACCAGGAACCGUACCCCAAACCGACACAGGUGGUCAGGUAGAGAAUACCAAGGCGC